RNAcentral lists this unclassified non-coding RNA (335 nucleotides) under soil metagenome. RNAcentral describes it as "partial contains 5.8S ribosomal RNA, internal transcribed spacer 2, and large subunit ribosomal RNA". The stretch from base 1 to 120 matches the Rfam family "5.8S ribosomal RNA", at positions 35 to 154 of the family's 154-position model. The record is from RNAcentral.
GAUGAAGAACGUAGCGAAAUGCGAUAAGUAAUGUGAAUUGCAGAAUUCAGUGAAUCAUCGAAUCUUUGAACGCACAUUGCGCCUGCCAGUAUUCUGGCGGGCAUGCCUGUUCGAGCGUCAUUUCAACCAUCAAGCCCCCGGCUUGUGUUGGGGACCUGCGGCUGCCGCAGGCCCUGAAAACCAGUGGCGGGCUCGCUAGUCACUCCGAGCGUAGUAAUACAUCUCGCUCAGGGCGUGCUGCGGGUUCCGGCCGUUAAAAAGCCUUAUUUACCCAAGGUUGACCUCGGAUCAGGUAGGAAGACCCGCUGAACUUAAGCAUAUCAAUAAGCGGAGGA